UAUUGAAACACUGGUUCUCGUACGAUGUCGGAAGUUAAGCAAAGCUGAGCUCGGUCAGUACCUGGAUGGAUGUGCGCUUGGGAAUACCGGGUGCUGUAAU
Non-coding RNA from Acanthosepion pharaonis, 100 nucleotides. The record is from the annotation of a GenBank genome assembly. NCBI's taxonomy places the organism in Eukaryota, Metazoa, Mollusca, Cephalopoda, Sepiida, Sepiidae.